AGUGAACGCUGGCGGUAGGCCUAACACAUGCAAGUCGAACGGCAGCACAGGAGAGCUUGCUCUCUGGGUGGCGAGUGGCGGACGGGUGGGGAAUACAUCGGAAUCUACUCUGUCGUGGGGGAUAACGUAGGGAAACUUACGCUAAUACCGCAUACGACCUACGGGUGAAAGCAGGGGAUCUUCGGACCUUGCGCGAUUGAAUGAGCCGAUGUCGGAUUAGCUAGUUGGCGGGGUAAAGGCCAACAAAGGCGACGAUCCGUAGCGGGUCUGAGAGGAUGAUCAGCCAAACUGGAACUGAGACGCGGUCCAGACUCCUACGGGAGGCAGCAGUGGGGAAUAUUGGACAAUGGGCGCAAGCCUGAUCCAGCCAUACCGCGUGGGUGAAGAAGGCCUUCGGGUUGUAAAGCCCUUUUGUUGGGAAAGAAAUCCAGCUGGCUAAUACCCGGUUGGGAUGACGGUACCCAAAGAAUAAGCACCGGCUAACUUCGUGCCAGCCGCCGCCGUAA
RNAcentral lists this ribosomal RNA (506 nucleotides) under uncultured bacterium. RNAcentral describes it as "partial 16S ribosomal RNA". It matches the Rfam family "Bacterial small subunit ribosomal RNA", at positions 29 to 523 of the family's 1533-position model. The record is from RNAcentral.